This 464-nucleotide ribosomal RNA is filed under the name Vreelandella stevensii. Its description in RNAcentral is "partial 16S ribosomal RNA". It matches the Rfam family "Bacterial small subunit ribosomal RNA", at positions 338 to 795 of the family's 1533-position model. Lineage: Bacteria; Pseudomonadati; Pseudomonadota; Gammaproteobacteria; Oceanospirillales; Halomonadaceae. The record is from RNAcentral.
CCUACGGGUGUCUGCAGUGGGGAAUAUUGGACAAUGGGCGAAAGCCUGAUCCAGCCAUGCCGCGUGUGUGAAGAAGGCCUUCGGGUUGUAAAGCACUUUCAGUGGGGAAGAAAGCCUUGGGGCUAAUACCCUCGAGGAAGGACAUCACCCACAGAAGAAGCACCGGCUAACUCCGUGCCAGCAGCCGCGGUAAUACGGAGGGUGCGAGCGUUAAUCGGAAUUACUGGGCGUAAAGCGGCGUAGGCGGUCUGAUAAGCCGGUUGUGAAAGCCCCGGGCUCAACCUGGGAACGGCAUCCGGAACUGUCAGGCUAGAGUGCAGGAGAGGAAGGUAGAAUUCCCGGUGUAGCGGUGAAAUGCGUAGAGAUCGGGAGGAAUACCAGUGGCGAAGGCGGCCUUCUGGACUGACACUGACGCUGAGGUGCGAAAGCGUGGGUAGCAAACAGGAUUAGAUACCCUUGUAGUC